UACAGAGGGUGCAAGCGUUAAUCGGAAUUACUGGGCGUAAAGCGCACGUAGGUGGAUAUUUAAGUCGGAAGUGAAAGCCCUGGGCUUAACCUGGGAAUUGCCUCCGAUACUGGACAUCUAGAAUAUGGUAGAGGGUAGUGGAAUUUCCGGUGUAGCGGUGAAAUGCGUAGAUAUCGGAAGGAACACCAGUGGCGAAAGCGGCUACCUGGACCAAUAUUGACACUUAGGUGCGAAAGCGUGGGGAG
Molecule: ribosomal RNA, 245 nt
Filed under: uncultured bacterium
Lineage: Bacteria
Description: partial 16S ribosomal RNA
Rfam family: Bacterial small subunit ribosomal RNA
Source: RNAcentral